CACGUAGGGGGCAAGCGUUGUCCGGAAUCAUUGGGCGUAAAGAGCUCGUAGGCGGCUCAGUAAGUCGGGUGUGAAACCCUCAGGCUCAACCUGGGGACGCCACCCGAUACUGCUGUGGCUAGAGUCCAGUAGGGGAGUGUGGAAUUCCCGGUGUAGCGGUGAAAUGCGCAGAUAUCGGGAGGAACACCGGUGGCGAAGGCGGGUCUCUGGGCCGAUACUGACGCUGAGGAGCGAAAGCGUGGGGAGCGAACAGG
RNAcentral lists this ribosomal RNA (254 nucleotides) under uncultured bacterium. RNAcentral describes it as "partial 16S ribosomal RNA". It matches the Rfam family "Bacterial small subunit ribosomal RNA", at positions 524 to 776 of the family's 1533-position model. The record is from RNAcentral.